UACGUAGGGUGCGAGCGUUAAUCGGAAUUACUGGGCGUAAAGCGUGCGCAGGCGGUUUUGUAAGCCAGAUGUGAAAGCCCCGGGCUUAACCUGGGAAUGGCAUUUGGGACUGCAAGGCUUGAGUGCGGCAGAGGAGACUGGAAUUCCUGGUGUAGCAGUGAAAUGCGCAGAUAUCAGGAGGAACACCAGCGGCGAAGGCGGCGCUCUGGGCCGGUACUGACACUGAGGAGCGAAAGCGUGGGUAGCAAACAGG
RNAcentral lists this ribosomal RNA (253 nucleotides) under uncultured bacterium. Its description in RNAcentral is "partial 16S ribosomal RNA". It matches the Rfam family "Bacterial small subunit ribosomal RNA", at positions 524 to 776 of the family's 1533-position model. The record is from RNAcentral.